CUUUCUUUUUUUUCCUGUGUAUUUGUGUUGUUUAAACCGUCGAGUAGUAUUUGUAUGCUAGGUAUGUUUGGAUUGGGAACAAACAACUGCAUCACGCUCAAAAUCUGCAGCUUUUCCAAGUGACUCUUAUCUAGUCCUCUCUGAGAAGGUGCAAAAUUCCCCAAACUAGCUCAAGUGAAAUCUCCCGUAUGUUACUAAGGCUCUCCUCUUAAUUCUUUGGGGUCCAGAGAACUAUAUACCUACAGAUUCAAAGGUUAUUGUCCUUCAGUCCCCUCUGUCACAGUUACUUAGAAUUCGGGUUUAAUAUCACUAAACAGGAGUCUUAGUCUAGACCUCCUGUUACAGUAGAAUAAUUAAUUCAUAAGAAAAUUAUUGCUGAGCUGUUUUGCAAGUAUCUUGCACAAUUAAAAUGUUUUCCAAAGAAAACUCUGCAGGAAUUCCCUACUACUGGUAGUCUAAAGCAGUUUCUUUCUUCUCCUUCCUUUAUCUCAAGUUAACUGAAUCUGAGAAAGUAAGUUCACCACAAGGAAUAAUUCUUCUGAAGAGAGUUAUUUUGAACCAGUCAUAACAUUGUUUUUCAUAUCAACAUCUUAUUUUACAUAAAAAUGCAAAACAGAAAUGGGAGAUGAAAAUUACCUUAAUUCCGAUAGCAUCAGAACCUUUUCAGACAUCUUUCCUAGAGGAAGUUUGGGUUAGAUCAGUAGAAUAUUGUGAAGUGCUGCGAUGUUAACAAAGCUGAAAAAUGAAGCUCCGGGUUCUUCUCACCAGCUGUAUACUGCCCCUUACUAUGCUUAGUGCAUAAAUGAGUAAAGCUGUUGACAGACAGCAAAACUUCAUGGCAGGGUGGGCUACAGAUAUCCGACUGUGGUGCAUGGGUGUGAUUUUGUAACGUGCAUAGCUGGUGUUGUGCCUCACACAGUAGCACUGCUUACAGAAGGGCAGUUUAGCUUCAUAUACGGCUCUCUCCAGGCAGCAUGUGCGUUCCUGCACCACUGAGUUUCGCGAGUGAGAAAAAAAAUUCAAAUGAGAGGAAGGGAAGUUUUGUGUAUAGCAUGCAUGCCUGCAAUAGUAUGAAUACAGAACGUAACACACAGGGAGUCUGCCCUUGCUAAGUAAACAUCCCUCUUAAAAAAAAAAAAAAAAAAAAAAAAAGCUUCUGACCAUUUGGAUUCUGCUUUUUUUUAAUUACAUCUAUAUGUAAAAGUUAUGAGUUGAGCAUGAAACUGCUUGUCAGAGUUCAUUGUUCAGAUCCCUAGUCUUUGAGAAAAAAUGGAGAAAUCCGAGUCAGAAGAAGAGAUAGACAAUGUCUUUGAAUACUCUUUUUUACACUAA
Aquila chrysaetos chrysaetos is the source of this 1332-nucleotide long non-coding RNA. RefSeq lists it as uncharacterized. Lineage: Eukaryota; Metazoa; Chordata; Aves; Accipitriformes; Accipitridae. The transcript has 2 exons. The record is from RefSeq and is a predicted model, not a curated record.